AAUCUUACCAAUGAGAUCUUGUACAUUUGAUUCAUGGAAGCCUUGAUCAGCAACUUGACAGUGGUGUAACCAACCUUGUCCCUACAAUUUCCUCUUUGCACAAUUUCUUUUCACCAAGGACAUUAAACCCCAUUAUUUCUGACUUCUUCCCUUCUCCGUUCUGAUCAUUUUGGUUGAGUAAAAUUCCACUAAUAUGCAGUUGUGUCUGUUUAUGU
This is a long non-coding RNA of Telopea speciosissima, 215 nucleotides long. RefSeq lists it as uncharacterized. The transcript is spliced from 2 exons. The record is from RefSeq and is a predicted model, not a curated record. Lineage: Eukaryota; Viridiplantae; Streptophyta; Magnoliopsida; Proteales; Proteaceae.